RNAcentral lists this ribozyme (116 nucleotides) under Aedes aegypti (yellow fever mosquito). RNAcentral describes it as "drz-agam-1 ribozyme". It matches the Rfam family "drz-agam-1 ribozyme". The record is from Rfam by way of RNAcentral. Lineage: Eukaryota; Metazoa; Arthropoda; Insecta; Diptera; Culicidae.
UGCCCAGCAACUCCUAUCUCUACCUCCUCGUGGUACUGGCCGGGGUACGAGUAACCUUAGGGAAGAUCUGGUAACCAACUCCGGUAAGAACUUUGGUCGUACGCUAAAAGGGAAGG